This 464-nucleotide ribosomal RNA is filed under the name uncultured bacterium. RNAcentral's name for it is "partial 16S ribosomal RNA". It matches the Rfam family "Bacterial small subunit ribosomal RNA", at positions 339 to 795 of the family's 1533-position model. The record is from RNAcentral.
CUACGGGCGGCUCCAGUGGGGAAUAUUGCACAAUGGGCGCAAGCCUGAUGCAGCCAUGCCGCGUGUAUGAAGAAGGCCUUCGGGUUGUAAAGUACUUUCAGCGGGGAGGAAGGGAGUAAAGUUAAUACCUUUGCUCAUUGACGUUACCCGCAGAAGAAGCACCGGCUAACUCCGUGCCAGCAGCCGCGGUAAUACGGAGGGUGCAAGCGUUAAUCGGAAUUACUGGGCGUAAAGCGCACGCAGGCGGUUUGUUAAGUCAGAUGGGAAAUCCCCGGGCUCAACCUGGGAACUGCAUCUGAUACUGGCAAGCUUGAGUCUCGUAGAGGGGGGUAGAAUUCCAGGUGUAGCGGUGAAAUGCGUAGAGAUCUGGAGGAAUGCCGGUGGCGAAGGCGGCCCCCUGGACGAAGACUGACGCUCAGGUGCGAAAGCGUGGGGAGCAAACAGGAUUAGAUACCCGUGUAGUC